Molecule: transfer RNA, 77 nt
Filed under: Salmonella enterica subsp. enterica
Lineage: Bacteria; Pseudomonadati; Pseudomonadota; Gammaproteobacteria; Enterobacterales; Enterobacteriaceae
Description: tRNA-Met
Rfam family: tRNA
About the family: Transfer RNA (tRNA) molecules are approximately 80 nucleotides in length.
Source: RNAcentral
CGCGGGGUGGAGCAGCCUGGUAGCUCGUCGGGCUCAUAACCCGAAGGUCGUCGGUUCUGAAUCGGCUAUCCCCUCAU